This 253-nucleotide ribosomal RNA is filed under the name uncultured bacterium. RNAcentral describes it as "partial 16S ribosomal RNA". It matches the Rfam family "Bacterial small subunit ribosomal RNA", at positions 524 to 776 of the family's 1533-position model. The record is from RNAcentral.
UACAGAGGGUGCAAGCGUUAAUCGGAAUUACUGGGCGUAAAGCGCGCGUAGGUGGUUCGUUAAGUUGGAUGUGAAAUCCCCGGGCUCAACCUGGGAACUGCAUUCAAAACUGUCGAGCUAGAGUAUGGUAGAGGGUGGUGGAAUUUCCUGUGUAGCGGUGAAAUGCGUAGAGAUCCGGAGGAACACCAGUGGCGAAAGCGGCCACCUGGACUGUACCUGACGCUGAAACGCGAAAGCUAGGGGAGCGAACGGG